UACGAAGGGGGCGAGCGUUGUUCGGAUUUACUGGGCGUAAAGGGCGCGCAGGCGGCGCAUUUUGUCAGGCGUGAAAGCCCCGGGCUUAACCUGGGAACUGCGUUUGAUACGGAUGGGCUAGAGUUCGGGAGAGGAGAGUGGAAUUCCCAGUGUAGAGGUGAAAUUCGUAGAUAUUGGGAAGAACACCGGUGGCGAAGGCGGCUCACUGGUCCGGUACUGACGCUGAGGUGCGAAAGCGUGGGGAGCAAACAGG
RNAcentral lists this ribosomal RNA (253 nucleotides) under uncultured bacterium. RNAcentral's name for it is "partial 16S ribosomal RNA". It matches the Rfam family "Bacterial small subunit ribosomal RNA", at positions 524 to 776 of the family's 1533-position model. The record is from RNAcentral.